Molecule: ribosomal RNA, 253 nt
Filed under: uncultured bacterium
Lineage: Bacteria
Description: partial 16S ribosomal RNA
Rfam family: Bacterial small subunit ribosomal RNA
Source: RNAcentral
GACAGAGGGUGCAAGCGUUGUUCGGAAUUACUGGGCGUAAAGCGCGUGUAGGCGGCUCCGCAAGUCGGAUGUGAAAGCCCUGGGCUCAACCUAGGAAGUGCAUUCGAUACUGCGGAGCUGGAGUCCUGGAGAGGAAGGCGGAAUUCUCGGUGUAGAGGUGAAAUUCGUAGAUAUCGAGAGGAACACCGGUGGCGAAGGCGGCCUUCUGGACAGUGACUGACGCUGAGACGCGAAAGCGUGGGGAGCAAACAGG